Molecule: ribosomal RNA, 443 nt
Filed under: uncultured bacterium
Lineage: Bacteria
Description: partial 16S ribosomal RNA
Rfam family: Bacterial small subunit ribosomal RNA
Source: RNAcentral
CCUACGGGAGGCAGCAGUGGGGAAUAUUGGACAAUGGGGGGAACCCUGAUCCAGCGACGCCGCGUGAGUGAAGAAGGAUUUCGGUAUGUAAAGCUCUAUCAGCAGGGAAGAAAGAAAUGACGGUACCUGACUAAGAAGCUUCGGCUAACUACGGGCCAGCAGCCGCGGUAAUACGUAGGGGGCAAGCGUUAUCCGGAAUUACUGGGUGUAAAGGGAGCGUAGACGGCGAGGCAAGUCUGAGGUGAAAGGCGGGGGCCUAACCCCCGGACUGCUUUGGAAACUGUAUGGCUGGAGUGCAGGAGAGGUAAGUGGAAUUCCUAGUGUAGCGGUGAAAUGCGUAGAUAUUAGGAAGAACACCAGUGGCGAAGGCGGCUUACUGGACUGUAACUGACGUUGAGGCACGAAAGCGUGGGGAGCAAACAGGAUUAGAUACCCCUGUAGUC